RNAcentral lists this ribosomal RNA (989 nucleotides) under bacterium enrichment culture. Its description in RNAcentral is "bacterial SSU rRNA". It matches the Rfam family "Bacterial small subunit ribosomal RNA", at positions 8 to 989 of the family's 1533-position model. The record is from RNAcentral.
AGGGUUUGAUUAUGGCUCAGAUUGAACGCUGGCGGCGUGCCUAACACAUGCAAGUCGAACGCGAAAGUCUCUUCGGAGAUGAGUAGAGUGGCGCACGGGUGAGUAACGCGUGGAUAAUCUACCUAUUGGUACGGGACAACAGUUGGAAACGACUGCUAAUACCGUAUAAGCUGGAAACGGGAAAGGGGGCCUCUUCUUGAAAGCUCUCGCCAGUAGAUGAGUCCGCGUUUCAUUAGCUAGACGGUGGGGUAACGGCCUACCGUGGCAACGAUGAAUAGCAGGCCUGAGAGGGUGGCCUGCCACACUGGGACUGGAACACGGCCCAGACUCCUACGGGAGGCAGCAGUGGGGAAUAUUGCGCAAUGGACGAAAGUCUGACGCAGCGACGCCGCGUGGAGGAUGAAGGUUUUCGGAUCGUAAACCCCUGUCAAGAGGGAAGAAACCUAUUAAGAAUAAUACUCUUAGUAAUUGACGGUACCUCUAGAGGAAGCACCGGCUAAUUCAGUGCCAGCAGCCGCGGUAAUACUGAAGGUGCAAGCGUUAAUCGGAAUCACUGGGCGUAAAGCGCUCGUAGGUGGCUUUGUAAGUCAGAUGUGAAAGCCCACGGCUCAACCGUGGAAUUGCAUUUGAUACUGCAUCGCUAGAGUAUAGGAGAGGGAAGUGGAAUUUCUGGUGUAGGAGUGAAAUCCGUAGAGAUCAGAAGGAACACCGGUGGCGAAGGCGACUUCCUGGACUAUUACUGACACUGAGGAGCGAAAGCGUGGGGAGCAAACAGGAUUAGAUACCCUGGUAGUCCACGCCGUAAACGAUGGGUACUAAGUGUCGGAGGCUUGACCUUCGGUGCUGUAGUUAACGCGUUAAGUACCCCGCCUGGGGAGUACGGUCGCAAGGCUGAAACUCAAAGAAAUUGACGGGGGCCCGCACAAGCGGUGGAGUAUGUGGUUUUAAUUCGAUGCAACGCGAAGAACCUUACCCAGGGCUUGACAUCC